AACGAACGCUGGCGGCAGGCUUAACACAUGCAAGUCGAGCGCCCCGCAAGGGGAGCGGCAGACGGGUGAGUAACGCGUGGGAACGUACCUUUUGGUUCGGAACAACUCCGGGAAACUGGAGCUAAUACCGGAUAAGCCCUAACGGGGAAAGAUUUAUCGCCGAAAGAUCGGCCCGCGUCUGAUUAGCUAGUUGGUGAGGUAGCGGCUCACCAAGGCGACGAUCAGUAGCUGGUCUGAGAGGAUGAUCAGCCACACUGGGACUGAGACACGGCCCAGACUCCUACGGGAGGCAGCAGUGGGGAAUAUUGGACAAUGGGCGCAAGCCUGAUCCAGCCAUGCCGCGUGAGUGAUGAAGGCCUUAGGGUUGUAAAGCUCUUUUGUCCGGGAAGAUAAUGACUGUACCGGAAGAAUAAGCCCCGGCUAACUUCGUG
This 431-nucleotide ribosomal RNA is filed under the name uncultured bacterium. RNAcentral's name for it is "partial 16S ribosomal RNA". It matches the Rfam family "Bacterial small subunit ribosomal RNA", at positions 29 to 507 of the family's 1533-position model. The record is from RNAcentral.